ACGGCACAGAUGUAACGUGAAAACAUUGAGGGGCCAGUGGACGGUAGAGUUGGUAUGUUAAAAGCUUCUCUUCCAGACGCACCGCCAGUCCCACCGUAUCAGGAGCUUCUAUAGAACUGUGAAAACAUUACGGUGCCAGCAGACUUUAGAGCUGAAUUAGUUGUCUCCCCUAUAACACAGACGCCACUUCAAGGGGCCAAGAGUCCGAAUACAAGGCCUACAAUGAGACACUUCAACGGGCCAAAUUAUGGCCGUAGAUACAUUAUGAAGGACACUGGACAGCCCCAGCAUUAUGUUCACCAAAGCAGCAUGUGGAUGACAGCCAUGGAAGGCCAGGAGUGAGACACUUCAACGGGCAAAGUUAUGGCCAUAGACAUGAAGGUCCGGGUGGUAUCGGACACUUGAGAUGGAUAACAAGAUGAAUACCUUGUUAGCCUAUUAACAGGCCAAUGGGUCGGUUGGAGAUUUGUCCUUGCCUGAUGAUCUCAAUCUCCCGAUGCGGGACCGGCAAGCCCUGGAGCUGCUGGAGACCAGGCUGAAGCAGGACACCGAGCUCCAGGAG
Long non-coding RNA from Coregonus clupeaformis (lake whitefish), 562 nucleotides. RefSeq lists it as uncharacterized. The record is from RefSeq and is a predicted model, not a curated record. Lineage: Eukaryota; Metazoa; Chordata; Actinopteri; Salmoniformes; Salmonidae. The transcript is spliced from 6 exons.